This 298-nucleotide ribosomal RNA is filed under the name uncultured bacterium. Its description in RNAcentral is "partial 16S ribosomal RNA". It matches the Rfam family "Bacterial small subunit ribosomal RNA", at positions 32 to 308 of the family's 1533-position model. The record is from RNAcentral.
AAUCAACGCUGGCGGCGUGCCUCAGACAUGCAAGUCGAACGCGAAAUCCCGAGCAAUCGGGAGAGUAGAGUGGCGCACGGGUGAGUAACACGUAGGUAAUCUACCUUCGGAUGGGGAAUAACAACCGGAAACGGUUGCUAAUACCGCAUAAUGCAGCGGCACCUAAUGGUGACAGUUGUUAAAGCGGGGGAUCGAAAGACCUCGCGUCUGAAGAGGAGCCUGCGGCGGAUUAGCUAGUUGGUAAGGUAAUGGCUUACCAAGGCAACGAUCCGUAACCGGCCUGAGAGGGGCGGUCGGU